GAACAAGAAUGACUUGUUAGUCAUUCUUUUUAAAUUACUACUUCACUUUAUCAGAUUUGUAUUUUACUUUGGUCUAUCCUUCUCUGAACUAGCAGUCACAGCUGUCCUGGGUUAGUCUGACAGAGGCAUCAUGUGUCACCGGGCCCUCUGACCAGCAGGGUAGGCGUGUGAAGUGUCUUGCCCAAAGACACAACAACAAAGGCGCACAGAGCUGGGAUCGAACUGACAACUGUUGUGGAAAUUUUCCUUUAACAAAGAAUGAGGCAGAGAACCAGAGAAAGAAUAUAUUCUUAAUCAGUAUUUAUUUGAAGGCUUAACAGUGUUUGAAGUCUCUGCUCACUGAACGCAGUCAGGAGAAAGAGCCCCGAGCAGAACACAGCUUACAGUUUUAUAGGGAGAGUUUCAAUCCGAUCACAUAGUUUGAUAAUCUACUUGGUUACAGAACAGACUGCUG
Molecule: long non-coding RNA, 454 nt
Organism: Poecilia latipinna (sailfin molly)
Lineage: Eukaryota; Metazoa; Chordata; Actinopteri; Cyprinodontiformes; Poeciliidae
Exons: 3
Source: RefSeq, a predicted model, not a curated record